This 992-nucleotide long non-coding RNA is filed under the name Amphimedon queenslandica. RNAcentral describes it as "uncharacterized LOC109590644, transcript variant X7". Lineage: Eukaryota; Metazoa; Porifera; Demospongiae; Haplosclerida; Niphatidae. The record is from RNAcentral.
UACCUCGCUGCUUACUGACUGAUUUAUGAUGAGAUUAAGAUCAUGUGCCUGCCUAAACACCCUAUCUACUUACACCAAGAUUCACUUCAAAGUUUUGUAUCACUGAGUUAUGCUUCAAUUUGCCUUCAUUCUCUUCAUUACUUCAAUCUCUUCAAGUAAGUCUCGCCCCGCCCUUUCACUACCUGUGGAGCUGGAGGAAUGGUCUAGAGACACUGCCAUCUAAAAUGUGUGCAAAGAAAAACACGUGGUUGACCUACAUCAUGUGACAGAUGAGACCAGACAAGUCAAAAUAGCUGAAACAGAUGCUUUGCAGCUAAGAAAAGUUGAGGAUAGAGUCCCUUUGGACAUCUCUUGCAGAUCCUUCCUCCGGAGGUAAUAUUCAGAGCUGCUAAUAUUUGCAGUAAUAAAAGUAUAGUGAAGUAACAUAGAAACUGAUAGAGCUUUGCUAUGACAUCAAGACCAUGUAUUUACAGUCUUCAGCUAAUUUUCUGUUCUUUAGCAGCCUCAGUGGAGCCAUUCACCAAUAGCGACUUGUUCUGUUUCUGUUAGCUUCUCGUAUGAACCUCUACCUCCAACCUCCUUGCUGAAAGUUGUUGCUGGUUGGCCUGUCUUGAUAACAAACCACAACUGGAAUGGGUGGAGAGUUACAAGAUACAGUGCAGGUUUUGCCACUAAUAAAAUGGGGGAUAUGAAACGGGAAGGAGUCAUGAGCUUAUUUCCAGGAAAUGGUCAAUAAAAUUAAGAUUGGGCUCCUGUCCAGCAGUAAAAAAUGGAUACAGCUUAAAGCCUGUGACUGUUUCUACAAUUCCUCCCUCCUCAUCCAUGUGUCUCCCUUUCUCUCUGUCCCUCUCUAUCUCACAUUGGAGCUCCAUCAAUAAACCUAGGCCUCCUGUAAUGAAUACAACAUUUCAAACUCCUCUCGUCAAAUUAUAUUUCUGUUAAAUAUAGAUUUAAUUUUGUUUUUAACAAAUAUUGUUUAUCUUACUUAUUUU